UACGUAGGGUGCAAGCGUUAAUCGGAAUUACUGGGCGUAAAGCGUGCGCAGGCGGUCAUGCAAGACAGAUGGGAAAUCCCCGGGCUCAACCUGGGAACUGCAUUUGUGACUGCAUGGCUGGAGUGCGGCAGAGGGGGAUGGAAUUCCGCGUGUAGCAGUGAAAUGCGUAGAUAUGUGGAGGAAUACCGAUGGCGAAGGCAGCCCCCUGGGAUAACACUGACGCUCAUGCACGAAAGCGUGGGGAGCAAACAGG
This 253-nucleotide ribosomal RNA is filed under the name uncultured bacterium. Its description in RNAcentral is "partial 16S ribosomal RNA". It matches the Rfam family "Bacterial small subunit ribosomal RNA", at positions 524 to 776 of the family's 1533-position model. The record is from RNAcentral.